UACCACAGCACCCACAACUACCACAACUACCACAGCACCCACAACUACCACAACUACCACAGCACCCACAACUACCACAGCACCCACAACUACCACAGCACCCACAACUACCACAGCACCCACAACUACCACAGCACCCACAACUACCACAGCACCCACAACUACCACAGCACCCACAACUACCACAGCACCCACAACUACCACAGCACCCACAACUACCACAGCACCCACAACUACCACAGCACCCACAACUACCACAGCACCCACAACUACCACAGCACCCACAACUACCACAGCACCCACAACUACCACAACUACCACAGCACCCACAACUACCACAGCACCCACAACUUUAAGUACACACCCAACCACCGAUCUCACAACCCAUAUUGUGGACGGUACAACAACGAGCAGUGGGCCUAGAUACGUUGUUGUACUGAGGAUAAAACUGUCCUCUCUGAUCCCACUAACAGAUGACUACAUCAGAAACGUGCUUUUACAGCAGCUCCGUGAGGAACUGAUCAGACAAGGGCUGCCAGGGGACUUUGCGCUACGCCUGAGAGCCACUCAUGGGAUCAGUUCCUGAGGGAGGAACAGGAAUUCAGAUCAACAUUCUUCACUCCUACUUGUCUUGUCUUCCUGGUUCUGAUUCUGCAAAAAGUUCUUCUGAAGAAGAAGUGGUUCCUUAUAAUGACAGAAUAUGGUUGAUUGGUACUAAUCUCUUGGGACAGACGCACGUAACAUAAAUGAUGAUUUUUGUUCUGGAUUGCCAGGAUUAGUUGAAUGGACUGACAGUGCUUCUGACUGGAUGUUAGUUGAAUGACUAACAUGACUGGGGUUCUUUACUGUUUGGUAAUGUACAGAGGUAGACUGAGGGUCUUUCCUGUUUGGUAAUGUACAGAGGUAGACUGGGGGUCUUUCCUGUUUGGUAAUGUACAGAGGUAGACUGGGGGUCUUUCCUGUUUGGUAAUGUACAGAGGUAGACUGGGGUUCUUUCCUGUUUGGUAAUGUACAGAGGUAGACUGGGGUUCUUUCCUGUUUGGUAAUGUACAGAGGUAGACUGGGGUUCUUUCCUGUUUGGUAAUGUACAGAGGUAGACUGGGGUUCUUUCCUGUUUGGUAAUGUACAGAGGUAGACUGGGGGUCUUUCCUGUUUGGUAAUGUACAGAGGUAGACUGAGGUUCUUUCCUGUUUGGUAAUGUACAGAGGUAGACUGGGGUUCUUUCCUGUUUGGUAAUGUAGAGAGGUAGACUGGGGUUCUUUCCUGUUUGGUAAUGUAGAGAGGUAGACUGGGGUUCUUUCCUGUUUGAUAAUGUACAGAGGUAGACUGAGGUUCUUUCCUGUUUGGUAAUGUACAGAGGUAGACUGAGGUUCUUUCCUGUUUGGUAAUGUACAGAGGUAGACUGAGGGUCUUUCCUGUUUGGUAAUGUAGAGAGGUAGACUGAGGGUCUUUCCUGUUUGGUAAUGUACAGAGGUAGACUGAGGGUCUUUCCUGUUUGGUAAUGUAGAGAGGUAGACUGAGGGUCUUUCCUGUUUGGUAAUGUACAGAGGUAGACUGGGGUUCUUUCCUGUUUGGUAAUGUACAGAGGUAGACUGGGGUUCUUUCCUGUUUGGUAAUGUACAGAGGUAGACUGAGGGUCUUUCCUGUUUGGUAAUGUACAGAGGUAGACUGGGGUUCUUUCCUGUUUGGUAAUGUACAGAGGUAGACUGAGGUUCUUUCCUGUUUGGUAAUGUACAGAGGUAGACUGGGGUUCUUUCCUGUUUGGUAAUGUACAGAGGUAGACUGGGGUUCUUUCCUGUUUGGUAAUGUACAGAGGUAGACUGGGGUUCUUUCCUGUUUGGUAAUGUACAGAGGUAGACUGGGGUUCUUUCCUGUUUGGUAAUGUACAGAGGUAGACUGGGGUUCUUUCCUGUUUGGUAAUGUACAGAGGUAGACUGGGGUUCUUUCCUGUUUGGUAAUGUACAGAGGUAGACUGGGGUUCUUUCCUGUUUGGUAAUGUACAGAGGUAGACUGAGGUUCUUUCCUGUUUGGUAAUGUACAGAGGUAGACUGAGGUUCUUUCCUGUUUGGUAAUGUACAGAGGUAGACUGGGGUUCUUUCCUGUUUGGUAAUGUACAGAGGUAGACUGGGGUUAUUUACUGUUUGGUAAUGUACAGAGGUAGACUGAGGUUCUUUACUGUUUGGUAAUGUACAGAGGUAGACUGGGGUUCUUUCCUGUUUGGUAAUGUACAGAGGUAGACUGGGGUUCUUUCCUGGUUGGUAAUGUACAGAGGUAGACUGGGGUUCUUUCCUGUUUGGUAAUGUACAGAGGUAGACUGGGGUUCUUUCCUGUUUGGUAAUGUACAGAGGUAGACUGGGGUUCUUUCCUGUUUGGUAAUGUACAGAGGUAGACUGAGGUUCUUUCCUGUUUGGUAAUGUACAGAGGUAGACUGGGGUUCUUUCCUGUUUGGUAAUGUACAGAGGUAGACUGAGGUUCUUUCCUGUUUGGUAAUGUACAGAGGUAGACUGAGGUUCUUUCCUGUUUGGUAAUGUACAGAGGUAGACUGAGGUUCUUUCCUGUUUGGUAAUGUACAGAGGUAGACUGAGGGUCUUUCCUGUUUGGUAAUGUACAGAGGUAGACUGGGGUUCUUUCCUGUUUGGUAAUGUACAGAGGUAGACUGAGGUUCUUUCCUGUUUGGUAAUGUACAGAGGUAGACUGAGGUUCUUUCCUGUUUGGUAAUGUACAGAGGUAGACUGGGGUUCUUUCCUGUUUGGUAAUGUACAGAGGUAGACUGAGGUUCUUUCCUGUGUCAAGAAUAGUUGGUUGAGGCUCCGUUUUCUGUGACAUUUUAGUGACAGAGGACACAGGUAGGUAGGACCCACUUGUAAACACCCACACACACACUCAGGAAGACGUUUCACUUUCACUCACACAUGGAGCAUAAAGAAGAAUGAACAAUGAGGUUGAAUUGACAUUGACGAAAGAGAAGAAAUGAAUUGACACUGACUAAAGAGAAGAAGAAAUGAAUUGACACUGACUAAAGAGAAGAAGAAAUGAAUUGACACUGACAAAAGAGAAGAAGAAAUUAAUUGGGAAUUGAUUGAAAUCCUAAUUAAAAGGUUAAACAUAUUAAAAGUUAAAAGGUUGAAAACAUUGGGAGAUAUUAAAGGUGAUAAAAUAAUGCAGGUGAGGAGAGUUAUAAUGUAGUUUUCUUUAAGUUGUGAAUCAUAUAGACUGCUUAGAGGACAAGGCCUUAGGAGGUUGAUAACGAGACGUUAUAAUGGUCAAAUGUUAUAAUGUUGAAAUGUUUAAAAUAUUGAAGUAUUAAAAUAUAACUGGAGUAAUAAAUUAGGUUGUAAUAAGAUUAGAAUUGAGUAAAGGUAGUUUGAAAAAUGUAUGUUAAGAAGUUGAUGUUAAUGAAGUAUAUUAAAAGGUGCUAGCUUGAUCUGGAAAUCCCUUCAUCUUACCUCAUUGAUUGAAGUGUUCUAGUACAUUCUAGGUGGAACCCUUAAUCUUACCUCAUUGGUAGAAGUGUUCUAGAACAUUCUAGGUGGAACCCUUAAUCUUACCUCAUUGGUAGAAGUGUUCUAGAACAUUCUAGGUGGAACCCUUAAUCUUACCUCAUUGGUAAAAGUGUUCUAGAACAUUCUAGAUGGAACCCUUAAUCUUACCUCAUUGGUAGAAGUCUUCUAGAACAUUCUAGGAGGAACCUUUAAUGUUACCUCAUUGGUAGAAGUGUUCUAGAACAUUCUAGGAGGAAUCCUUUAGGUUACCUCAUUGGUAGAAGUGUUCUAGAACAUUCUAGGAGGAACCCUUUAGGUUACCUCAUUGGUAGAAGUGUUCUAGAACAUUCUAGGAGGAAUCCUUAAGGUUACCUCAUUGGUAGAAGUGUUCUAGAACAUUCUAGGAGGAAUCCUUAAGGUUACCUCAUUGGUAGAAGUGUUCUAGAACAUUCUAGGAGGAAUCCUUAAGGUUACCUCAUUGGUAGAAGUGUUCUAGAACAUUCUAGGAGGAAUCCUUAAGGUUACCUCAUUGGUAGAAGUGUUCUAGAACAUUCUAGGAGGAAUCCUUAAGGUUACCUCAUUGGUAGAAGUGUUCUAGAACAUUCUAGGAGGAAUCCUUAAGGUUACCUCAUUGGUAGAAGUGUUCUAGAACAUUCUAGGAGGAAUCCUUAAGGUUACCUCAUUGGUAGAAGUGUUCUAGAACAUUCUAGGAGGAAUCCUUAAGGUUACCUCAUUGGUAGAAGUGUUCUAGAACAUUCUAGGAGGAAUCCUUUAGGUUACCUCAUUGGUAGAAGUGUUCUAGAACAUUCUAGGAGGAAUCCUUAAGGUUACCUCAUUGGUAGAAGUGUUCUAGUACAUUCUAGGAGGAAUCCUUAAGGUUACCU
This is a long non-coding RNA of Oncorhynchus kisutch (coho salmon), 4366 nucleotides long. RefSeq lists it as uncharacterized. Lineage: Eukaryota; Metazoa; Chordata; Actinopteri; Salmoniformes; Salmonidae. The record is from RefSeq and is a predicted model, not a curated record. The transcript has 4 exons.